Unclassified non-coding RNA from Mesocricetus auratus (golden hamster), 269 nucleotides. Its record names the gene 7SK. It matches the Rfam family "7SK RNA". Rfam says of the family: 7SK was discovered as an abundant small nuclear RNA in the mid-70s but a possible function has only recently been suggested. Two independent studies have found that 7SK RNA binds the CDK9/cyclin T complex (known as elongation factor P-TEFb). P-TEFb activates transcription by phosphorylating the C-terminal domain of RNA polymerase II. NCBI's taxonomy places the organism in Eukaryota, Metazoa, Chordata, Mammalia, Rodentia, Cricetidae. The record is from Ensembl.
GGAUGUGAAGGCAAUCUGGCUGUGACAUCUGGUGAUGUGGCUGGGAGGUGGCGUCCUCUCCUCCCUCACUGCUUCACAGGCAUCGCUCCCAAAGCUGCGCACUCAGUGCCCUGAUGGAAGAGGACAACCUUCCCUGGAGAGAGGAGGACCUGACUUCAGUCAGGGGUAUGUGAGUAGCUGCGCUCCUGCUACAACACACACAUAUACACUCUUGCACGCAUGCACGCACCAUGCACGCACCUUCCAUUCCAGUUCUGAGUCUAUCCAUG